This is a non-coding RNA of Lentinula aciculospora, 87 nucleotides long. Lineage: Eukaryota; Fungi; Basidiomycota; Agaricomycetes; Agaricales; Omphalotaceae. The record is from the annotation of a GenBank genome assembly.
CCGACCUUAGCUCAGUUGGAAGAGCACAAGACUGUAAUUGGAUAAUAACUUAUCUUGGGGUCGCCUGUUCGAACCAGGCAGGUCGGA